AGCGAGGCUCCGUGCAGCCGCUGCCCGGGCUCCGUGGGGCCGCCUUCGCCGCCGGAAGCCCAGCCCCGAAAUGGCGGCGUGCGUUUGACCGGCGGCUCGUUGACGCGGCGAGCGGGGCGGGGGCUGUCCCCUCUCCGAGGUAACGCCGGGGCAGCCGGCGGCGCCAGGCUUUCCCCGAUACCCUGAGAAGUCCUCUGCGGCAGGGGAACGUACACAGACAUUACGUUUUUUUGGAAGUUCUAGAUGUAAAUUCCUGUGAUCCAACCCAAGGAAACAUGAGAAAGCAGGAAGUGAGAUGAGGGAAGAACCUAAGUGUUAGAAAGAGAAAAGGAGAAAGGGGGAAAAAGUCUCAUACAAACCUCAAGCAUAACUGGCCCAGGUUUAUUGCUCAGCAGGAGAGCACCUUUUGCUGGGUCUAGCAUAUGGCCAACAGAAGCUAUGUCAGUGUCUGCAAACUCAGCAAAUUCUGAAGGAAACUGGAUUAGAUGCCAGAAGAACAUCAGCCAGCUGUUUCACAAGACAGGCAAGAAGAGCUGGA
RNAcentral lists this long non-coding RNA (538 nucleotides) under Chrysolophus pictus (golden pheasant). RNAcentral's name for it is "lncRNA (ENSCPIG00010009378.1)". The record is from RNAcentral. Lineage: Eukaryota; Metazoa; Chordata; Aves; Galliformes; Phasianidae.